GAUGAACGCUAGCGGCGCGCUUAAUGCAUGUAAGUCGAGCGAUGAGGCCCUUCGGGGUACAUCAGCGGCAGACGGGUGAGUAACACGUGGAUGACCUGCCCUCAAGACUGGGAUAACGCGUGGAAACAUGCGCUAAUACCGGAUUGGCUUCUGGGAUCGCAGCCAGAAGUAAAGCUACGGUGCUUGGGGAGGGGUCCGCGGCCCAUCAGCUAGUUGGUAGGGUAACGGCCUACCAAGGCGAAGACGGGUAGGGGGUGUGAGAGCAUGGCCCCCCACAAUGGGACUGAGAGACGGCCCAUACUCCUACGGGAGGCAGCAGCAGGGAAUAUUGCACAAUGGACGGAAGUCUGAUGCAGCGACGCCGCGUGGAUGAUGAAGGCCUUCGGGUCGUAAAAUCCUUUUCGGGGGGAAGAGGAAGGACGGUACC
RNAcentral lists this ribosomal RNA (427 nucleotides) under uncultured bacterium. RNAcentral's name for it is "bacterial SSU rRNA". It matches the Rfam family "Bacterial small subunit ribosomal RNA", at positions 28 to 479 of the family's 1533-position model. The record is from RNAcentral.